CCUACGGGAGGCAGCAGUGGGGAAUAUUGCGCAAUGGGCGAAAGCCUGACGCAGCGACGCCGCGUGAGGGAAGAAGGUCUUCGGAGCGGAAACCUCUGUCAGCAGGGAAGAACGGUCACGGUGCUAAGCAGCAGUGAAUUGACGGUACCUGCAAAGGAAGCACCGGCUAACUCCGUGCCAGCAGCCGCGGUAAGACGGAGGGUGCGAGCUUUAAGCGGAAUUACUGGGCGGAAAGCGCUCGUAGGCGGUAUGUCAAGUCAAGGGUGAAAUCCCCGCGCUCAACGUGGGAACUGCCUUUGAAACUGUCAUACUGGAGUGUGUGAGAGGCUAGUGGAAUUCCAGGUGUAGCCGU
RNAcentral lists this ribosomal RNA (352 nucleotides) under uncultured bacterium. RNAcentral describes it as "partial 16S ribosomal RNA". It matches the Rfam family "Bacterial small subunit ribosomal RNA", at positions 338 to 682 of the family's 1533-position model. The record is from RNAcentral.